AAGUUGGAGACGCCUAGUGAGGGUCAAGGAGGCCCGGCCCGCGCCCUCCCCGCCCAGCCGCCUCCCCGUCGACCACCCAGGGCUGGGGCGAGCCAGGCUGCCUUUCGAACUUGGGGGCUUCUCCUCUUGUCUCCCACUGGUGCUCUGGAUGUGAAUCCAUCCAGGGGCCAGGAUGACAAUCCGAUACCAAGGCCAGCAGUACAGGCUGAGGAUGGCAUUUCUCCAAAAGGUUUCCAAGCUGCGUCCUGGACCUGCAGACUGAGACAGAGAUCCACGGACUGCAGAGCAGGCGGCCCACCCCAGCUCCGAGUCACAUAAGGUUGAAAUAUCAGUAAAAAACAUGCAGAACCAAAGAUGGGGACCAAAAUCCAAAGCCAGAGGGUCUUGGAAAUCAGAGGGUCUUACAACAUAACAGGCAGUACAGGCCAUGGCUCAGGCUAGGCAUGGAACAGACUGCAGUUCUCUUCUACAAAUCAAUCUAGACUGGACAGACAGAACUCCGAGGGAGGAAAGAAAAAUGAAUCUGAUGUUACUUCUUGAAACCACAUUUUCUGAAGUCACCAUUUUUAUGUAUCUAUCAACUCAUCAUUUUUAUGUAUAUAUCAAUAUGAUUUUAUGAUCUUAUUUUUUUCCUACUAAUGUGAUGAAUUACCUUGAUUGAUUUUAGAAUAUUAAAUCACUUUUGUAUUCCUGGAAUAAACCCUAGAUGGAUGCUUGAUUUUUUCUAAUUCCUUAGCAAAAAUGCUAAUAUUUUAUUCAGGACUUUGCAUCCAUAUUCACAAGUGAGGAUUUUUUUCCUCUCCUGACACCAACCAAUUCUCCAACACAAACUGCGUGUCCAACAAUUCAAUUCAAUCCUGACACUAACUACCCAGAGUUAGCAUUAGCCUCCACAGAUUUAAGGCCUCAGCCCCACAAGAUUGUCCCAAUCAGACUCCAGUUGCAAGUCCUGGGCCACCCAUACUUCUGGGCAACUGGUUACAAAUUGGGGGUUCUUAUGACCACCUCCCGCAGGCUUGACAAUUUGCUAGAAUGAUUAGUGGAACGCAAGAAAGUGCUUAACUUAAUAUUACUGGUUUAUUACAAAGGAUACAAUUCAGGAAGAGCCAAAUGGAAGUGAUGCAUGGAGCAAGGCAAGGGAGAAUGAGCACAGAGCUUUUCUACCCUCUCCGGGCACGCCACUCUCCCAGCACCUUGAUGUGUUCACCAACCUGGAAGCUCUCUGAGCCCCAUCAUUUAGAGGUUUUAAUGGAAGUUUCAUUACAUAGGCAUUUUUUUUUUUUUUUUUUUUUUGAGACGGAGUCUUACUCUGUCACCCAGGCUGGAGUGCAGUGGCACCAUCUCGGCUCACUGCAAGCUCCACCUCCCGUGUUCAAGCGAUUCUCCUGCCUCAGCCUCCCAUGCCCAGCUAACUUUUGUAUUUUUAGUAGAGAUGGGGUUUCACCAUGUUGGCCAGGCUGGUCUCGAACUCCUGACCUCAGGUGAUCCGCCUGCCUUGGCUUCCCAAAGUGCUGGGAUUAUAAACGUGAGCCCUACAUAGCCAUGAUUGAUUGAAUCUUUGAACAUUGGUGAUUACUUCAAUCUCCAGCCCCUUGUCCCUCUCUCCUCCCCAGAAGUCAGUGGGCGGGGCUAAAAGUUCCAACCCUCUAAUCAUGCCUAGUUCUCCUUUUUUUAAAAAAAUUAUUUAUUUUUCUUGGCUUGCAAAAUAAGAGCUAUUGUCUAGGUCUUUCUGGCGACCCUUUCAUCCUGAAGUACCUAGAAGCCUCCAGCCACUAGUCAUUUCAUUAGUAUACAAAAGACACUCUUGCUACUGUGGACAUUUCAGGAGUUUUGGGAGCCAUGUCCCAGGAACCAGGGACAAAAUCCAAAUAUUUAUUUUUUCUCAUACCACAAUGAUUGACAUUGGUUUGUAAUUUUUUCUUUUUGUAAUAUCCUAGUCCAGUUUUUCUAUUAAGGUUAUGGCCACAUAAAAAGAGUUGGGAAGUAUACUCUGUUUUUCUAUUCUUUGGUAGAGUUUGUCUAAGUUUGUGCAAGAUUGCUAUUAUUUUAUUUUUUUAGAGAUAGUUUCUCACUCUGUCGCCCAGACUGGAGUGGCAGUGAUGCCAUCACAGCUCAUUCACUAUAACCUUGAACUCCUGGGCUCAAGCAAUCCUCCCACCUAAGCCUCCUAAAUACCUGGGACUACAGGUGCAUGCUGCCAUGCCCUGCUAAUUUUUAAAUUUUUUGUAGAGGUGGUGCCUCACUAUAUUGUCCAGGCUGGUCUUGAACUCCUUGACUCAAGUGAUUCUCCUACCUCAGCCUCCCAAAGUGCUAGGAGUAUAGGUGUGAGCCACCACACACAGCCCAUGGUAUUAUUCUUUAAAUAUUUGGAAGAAUUAACGAUGAAGCAAGCCAUCUGGGGCUUGGAAUUCUUUGUGAGAAGUUCUUGAAUAGAUUCCAUUUAUUUAUUAGAUAUUGGCUAUUCAGAUUUUAUUUUUUUAUAUGGGCUUUGGAAAGUUGUAUUUUUCAAGGAAUUUGUCUAUUUUAUCCAAGUUGUCAAUAUUUUGGUGUAAAGACAACAAUAUUCUCUUAUCUUUGUUAUAUUUGUGGGAUCUGUACUGAUAUUCCUUUCUAAUAUUGAAAAUUUGUCUUUUUUGUUUCUGUUGAUCAGUAUUGUUUGGAGUCUAUCAAUAUAAAUAAUAUUUUCAAAUAACC
This is a long non-coding RNA of Pongo pygmaeus (Bornean orangutan), 2694 nucleotides long. RefSeq lists it as uncharacterized. The record is from RefSeq and is a predicted model, not a curated record. Lineage: Eukaryota; Metazoa; Chordata; Mammalia; Primates; Hominidae. The transcript has 3 exons.